Long non-coding RNA from Drosophila persimilis, 1273 nucleotides. RefSeq lists it as uncharacterized. Lineage: Eukaryota; Metazoa; Arthropoda; Insecta; Diptera; Drosophilidae. The transcript has 6 exons. The record is from RefSeq and is a predicted model, not a curated record.
UUCCUCGUUGUUCAUCGUACGCGUCAUUCUCUUUGUCGAAUGCUACGUGUCUUGAUUCGUCUCGUUCGCCUUACAGUUCACGUUUUCGUCGUCAUCGCCGUUAAGUUCACGUCGGCCAAUAGUGUUGGAAAACGGUCGUGGCAUUAGCUAGAGGCUUCGCUUUCCUGACCGGAGAGCUCCAUGGCCACGGUGGCCAGCUCGUCGACCUCAUCCGCCGCAAAUGCAACGACGCUCUUCAACGACAAACAGGCCAUAUCAGGAACUUUGCCAGUUGAAAUGUAACCAACACCAACUUCAAAGGCAUAUAUAAUUGCGCCUAAUUGCCUUUAAUUGUUCAGAACGGAAGUCCAAAAACGCCAGGACAAUGAGUACUAAUUCAACUAUCAGUGGAAACAUAAUCUUUCAUCACCGCAGCACAAGUGCAUGAAUUGUUUUUUCGGAACGGAGCUUAUUCUUCACAACUUAUAUGUACUGCAUCCGCAUGACCAGACCUCCAACGGCAAGCUUCAUGAAAAGCUUCAAGGGAAAGUGUUCGUACCAUCCCACAUAGCGGUCCUCCACAACCCCACAGUUAAUUAAUUGUAAUACGACGAAAAAAUUACAGAAACGCAUACAAAUCACGAAUAUAACUAGGGAAUCAAACGACAAACGGAACCGAAAUUCGAAUGAUUCCUUGCGUAGACAGGAAGAUAUCUUCACAAACUGUCAGUUCUUGAUGGACCCAGAGAACUUCUCUGAGGAAUGCCUGUAGCUUUUGCUCAAUCCUAUUCGCCUAUGAAGCGCUGUGGAGUGCCAGAUGGAUCAGAUGUCCGAUGAGUGCUGCGAUGGAUGUUAAGCCACACCGGCGGCGAUCUUGACAGCACAGAGGGCUGCAGCAGGGAGUGCGUUUUGCGCUCCCACUGUCCACCCGGGGAGAAAAUCAACGAGCUCCGAUGGCAUGAUCCAAGGGACGGCUUAGACUGCUUUCUUCGAGGGAGAAAUUCAUCGAGUUGGCACUUGCGUGGAUAGAUACAAGCUAAAUGAGCCGCGUUAACAAGGAAAACUAUCGACCUAGUCCGAGCUUCGCUUCAACAGCUCAAAGCUAUUGUUCGCUGACCUUACCAAGUGCGCUCCCGACCUACUACCUGGAGAAAUUCAAAUAACACAUGCUCAUACAAAACUGAAGGCUAUUCUUCCAGCAGAACCGAUUAUUCCAUAUUCUUGAUUGUAAAGUGAUUAUUACCUGCCUCUUGUGCGCUCUCAGCAUUUUCCGUCGCGUCGAUCAAGUCUUUUU